CUGAACAGCACAACUGUAAAGGAGGAAAAGUUUAUUUGGGCACUCAUGGUUUUCUAAGGUCUCAAUCCAUAGACAGCAGGCUCUACUCCUCAAGGCUUGAGGUGACACAGAACAAUAUUGAAAAAUAGUGUGGCAGAUGGAGGCAGCUCACAUGAUAAUCACAUGGCAGAGACAGACUCCACUCUCCAGAUACAAAAUAUAUAUCCCAUAGCCAUGUCCCCAGUGAGCCACAUCCCACCUGCCUCCGCUACCACUCAAUCCCAUCAGGGAUUAAUUCACUGGUUAGGUUAAGGCUAUAACCCAACCAUUUCUCCUCUGAACCUUCUUGCAUUGUCUCACAUGUGAGCUACAUCUAAACCCUAACAGGACUAUAGCUGUGUACCACAGCACCCAGCUUCAGCAAUUUAGAAUUGCAGGAAAGCCAUCCACAGAUUAGAAGCUGAGAGCAUGCCUCCCUUGCAUGUGGGCAGCUCCCCAGAAGACAGAACAGAGAAUUAGAAGAUGGAAUGCUGCAGCUGAACACUGCUAAGGAAGCUCACCUACCUCAGAAGGAAAGAGCUCCCUUAGGAAGGUCAGCCAAGUCCUGGCCAGGGGCACUUGUGACUCCAUUAGAGCCCACCUGGAUAAUCCAGGACAAUCUCCCCACCUCAGAAUCCUAAUCACAGCUGCAAGUCCUUUUCUUGCCAUAUAAAGUAACACACACAAGUUUCAAGAAUGAGGAUGUCGACCAUCCCACCAUACUCCCUAUGGAAACAGAGGAAGGACGAGAUGUCUAGAGCCAUGGCAACCGACCAACAACCAGAAGAGUGCAAGUCUAAGGAUACUGGAAGAGAAAUAAGGCAGACGGCUGAACUCUGGAUGGCAUGUUGUGUUCCUGGCAUAAUUAAAUCUGGAAUGAUCCACCCUGUGUUUACUUUUAAAAUUUCAUCUGCACUCCUCUCAAGAUGUUUUGAACUUAAGGAUGCAGAGAGGGCCUGAAGCUGCAUUCACUCAUGGGUUCACAGGUAUUGUUCCCUGUCCCCUUAAAAAGAUGGAUAAUUUUCGUGCUUCUUCCAAAUCAUCCUGACAUCCUGAGCCUCAUUUGUCCCAGUCUUUGUUAUAAGAAACUCAAAAAAAAAAAAAAAAA
Molecule: non-coding RNA, 1126 nt
Organism: Ictidomys tridecemlineatus (thirteen-lined ground squirrel)
Lineage: Eukaryota; Metazoa; Chordata; Mammalia; Rodentia; Sciuridae
Source: RefSeq, a predicted model, not a curated record